Molecule: long non-coding RNA, 1059 nt
Filed under: Piliocolobus tephrosceles (Ugandan red Colobus)
Lineage: Eukaryota; Metazoa; Chordata; Mammalia; Primates; Cercopithecidae
Description: lncRNA (ENSPTEG00000003982.1)
Source: RNAcentral
CCGCAGCCAUGUCCUCUUCCUGUUUGUUUUGUAGAGCAGACACUCCAUAAACGCUCAUAGCAGAAAUGAAUAAAUGGAUGAGUCUCAUUAUCACAUUGGCGGUGACAAUCUUCUGAUUGCUCAGAGGCUCCAGAAUUGGAUGUGUUUCUGGUACUGGAGGAUCUACUUAGGAGGCAGUACUUCUGAGAGUCUUCAUGGACCAUGGUGCUGCACGAGGUGCUGUGUUUGCAGAGUUUUUUUUUGCCCUUGAAGAGCACUUACGACUGGAGAGCAAGACACAUGCCGACACGCAGAAGCUGACGGGCUUGCGGCCACGUGGGAAAGUCCUCGGACGAGCUGUCUGCUUGCAGGGAGGUGUCUGCGGCUCAGGGCUUUGCUCAGGAGGCUCCAGAGAGGUGGCCCUGUCCUGCCAAGUUAAGGAAUGCCGCCUUGUUGUGGAAUGGUCCCGUGCAGAACACACAGCAUCCCACGGAAACACCCACUCCAGGCGGGGGCCAGAAAUCCAUUGUCUUCAGUGACUUCCUGACCCAGGCCAGUGGGUGCGGUUCCAGUUUCCAGCUAGCCAAGUCCAUUUUCACCCCCGAACCUCCUGCUGAGCCUUUUUCCUGCAUGUCACCACCCACAGACUCAGAUCAAGUCCCUGACUUGCCUCUCAGACUCCGGGACGACACACAGAAGGCGGAAAGUCGUGUCUCCUGAAUUCAACUUUUCCGUAGGCUUAGAUUGCCGGUGAUCACCUUGCUGGCUUCACCUGGCUUUCCCAGCCUCCUUAUUCUUUUUCAUCUUCAAAGGAUGGUGAAGCUGUUGAGCCCAACUCCUGAGGAGUCAACAAAGGAGAUUUUGAACGCUCCAAGAACAGCAGGCUCCGCACUGAAACUCAGCAGCCACUUUGAACCAAACUGUGUGCAUUUUCAGAAGUAUUUCUUCUUGCUGAAGACCCGAGGGACUGGGUUUUUUGAGGGUCAUUUCUCCAGUAGAUUUAGCCUGCCUGGGAAAAGUUUUCGGCAGCAGGGGACAGGGGAAAAUAAAAUCCUGGAAGAUGGCUCCUGUUCUGUGAUU